RNAcentral lists this long non-coding RNA (619 nucleotides) under Mytilus galloprovincialis (Mediterranean mussel). Lineage: Eukaryota; Metazoa; Mollusca; Bivalvia; Mytilida; Mytilidae. The record is from RNAcentral.
UUUCUAUAAUGUAGCCUUUAAUUUGUUGUGAUCAUUGUUUUAUACACAAAAUAAAUAAACCACAUAUUCAGUAAUACAAUUACAUUAAUAACCCCUCUAUGGACUGUACAUAUCUUUACAAAGGACAAAAAAACUCAUUGUCAUCAAUAAAAAUAUUUAUUGCAUUGUGUACGAAAUAUAGACAUUUUGGCAAAAUAAGUACUUUUUAUUAUAAAAAUACCAGUCUCAAUAAAAUAAUGAAUAAUAAUCAUAGCUGAAUAGAAAAAAAUAUUUUCAACAUUAAAAAAAAUCAAAAUUUUGUAUGGUGGUCAAACUUUCAAAAUGUAUAGGCUUUUUACAUACACCAUAUGAAUGUUUGCCCACCAUAAACACAGCAAUACCAUGUACAUGUAUUUAUAAUUUUUGACAAGUAUGAUCUCAACUGGUGAAGUGUUGUAGAAUCCUUAACAGACAAGAGGUCAAACAUUGAAUUAAAGACUCCAUUUUAAUAUUUUAAAAUUUUCACCUGGCCAAAUUCAACAUUACAUUAAAUUUUAAUACUUCUUAUGGAUUGAUAUCUGUAAAUUUGGUCUAUGAAAAACAAACUUUAAUGUAACAGCUAUAUUAUAACCUGGCAUUG